Molecule: ribosomal RNA, 253 nt
Filed under: uncultured bacterium
Lineage: Bacteria
Description: partial 16S ribosomal RNA
Rfam family: Bacterial small subunit ribosomal RNA
Source: RNAcentral
GACGAACCGUGCGAACGUUGUUCGGAAUUACUGGGCGUAAAGCGUGCGCAGGCGGUUCGUUAUGUCCGUUGUGAAAGCCCCGGGCUCAACCUGGGAAUGGCAAUGGAAACUGGCGGGCUAGAGUGUGGCAGAGGGGGGUGGAAUUCCGCGUGUAGCAGUGAAAUGCGUAGAGAUGCGGAGGAACACCGAUGGCGAAGGCAGCCCCCUGGGCUAGCACUGACGCUCAUGCACGAAAGCGUGGGGAGCAAACAGG